This is a long non-coding RNA of Lemur catta (Ring-tailed lemur), 725 nucleotides long. RefSeq lists it as uncharacterized. The transcript is spliced from 3 exons. The record is from RefSeq and is a predicted model, not a curated record. NCBI's taxonomy places the organism in Eukaryota, Metazoa, Chordata, Mammalia, Primates, Lemuridae.
GGGUUUGAGGGCACGAAUUCAGUAAAGAGAAUGGCCCAUCCACAUCCUUACCUUCAAAUAGACGCAAUUGUUUUACUAUUUUACUUGAGUUCUGAGGCUGAAAUCAAAGCCUCAGUUCACAGGGCUGCUCUAUCUUGGAGCUGCCACUACACUGCCUUUAUUGGAGUCCUACACUUCCCCCUCUCCAUCUUUUCAGAAUCGAUGUAGAUGCAAAACCAAAUGCUCAACCAGCCCCAGACUCUAGCCCUUCCUUCUUGUCUGGCCUCCCAACAAGCUCGGACUAAGCAACACUGAAACAAUUUCUGGCAUCUUAGCUCAUAAUAGCUGAAUCAUCUGACCCUUCUGUAGAUUUCAUUGCUUCACAGGCAAAGCUGCUGCUACCUCCCCUUCCACUUCUCCCCAUUCUUGAAAUGUCUCUUGCUCCAUCAGAAGCACCACCGUUUCUCUGCAAGCUUUUUUGAUAGAGAAUUAAACUCUCUGCCAUGAGCUCAUGGAACCACUGGACCAAAGCUGACAACUGGAUGAUUCUACAGGUGCUUAGGAAUUCAGAGAAAAGUUUGAAUAUUACUCUCAAAUCACCGGGGAACUAUGGCAAAGUCCCAUCCAUCUCGAGAAGGCAUAAUGAAAGACAUAUUGCAGCCAAUCCCAGAGAAGCAUAUUUUGCCUUUACUUUCUGCCCCACUGCUACCCCAAACCAAUAGUAUGGCAUUUUAGUAAGAGGAAGA